Molecule: ribosomal RNA, 519 nt
Filed under: uncultured bacterium
Lineage: Bacteria
Description: bacterial SSU rRNA
Rfam family: Bacterial small subunit ribosomal RNA
Source: RNAcentral
GUUAGGAAUCUUCGGCAAUGGGGGAAACCCUGACCGAGCGACACUGCUUGAAGGAUGAAGGUCUUCGGAUCGUAAACUUCUGAACCUGCGACGAAAAAUGACGGUAGCAGGCUAAUAGCACCGGCUAACUCCGUGCCAGCAGCCGCGGUAAUACGGAGGGUGCAAGCGUUAUCCGGAAUCACUGGGCGUAAAGGGCGCGUAGGCGGUUUGCUAAGUCCGAUGUUAAAGACCGAGGCUCAACCUCGACACGGCGUUGGAUACUGGCAAGCUGGACGGUUGGAGAGGAAGGUAGAAUUACCAGUGUAGCGGUGGAAUGCGUAGAUACUGGUAGGAAUACCCAUUGCGAAGGCAGCCUUCUGGACAACACGUGACGCUGAGGCGCGAAAGUGUGGGGAGCAAACCGGAUUAGAUACCCGGGUAGUCCACACCCUAAACGAUGCAUACUUGGUGUCGGCCCGUUGGGGUCGGUGCCGGAGCUAACGCGUUAAGUAUGCCGCCUGGGAAGUACGGCCGCAAGGU